This is a long non-coding RNA of Eurytemora carolleeae, 382 nucleotides long. RefSeq lists it as uncharacterized. The record is from RefSeq and is a predicted model, not a curated record. NCBI's taxonomy places the organism in Eukaryota, Metazoa, Arthropoda, Copepoda, Calanoida, Temoridae. The transcript is spliced from 3 exons.
UAUUUAGUUGGCUGUUCAAGCUGCAAAGAAGCUCGUUGGAAUAUCUUCUGUAGUUGGAGAAGAAUGUGCACAUGUAAAGCUACUUGAGGUUGUGAAUGUUAAGAAACAAGUAGUGGCUGGAACUAAUUUUAUCCUUACCCUGAAAAUGAUCACCAAGACCGGACCAGAUUGUCAAGAUGAGGAGAUUAAAAUUUGCUCAAACAUAUAUGCCUACAAACCUCUACCAUACGCCUGUGAUUCAGAUGAUCAUUGCAUUGAAAUUAUAAGAUCUGGAGACAUAAACUGCCAUGGUGAACACUCUAUUGAGAUUCCAAUAGAUAUUGUUCCAAUGGAUCUAGGGGAAGGAAGAAAUAUGUUAACCAUCACAGAGCUGAAUAUUGAG